AAGGAAGCACACUUGGGUCAUAGAUUAAGCCAUGCAAGUCUGAGUUCAGGCAACGAAACUGCGUACAGCUCAUUAACAGACUCAUAACCUAUAUGACAGCGACUUUGGUCAUAAGGAUAGCUGGAGUAAAUCUCGAGCUAAUACUUUAUAGAGUACCUUUAGUUCGGAAGGGACAGAGGUAAAGUAGACCGGCAACGGCAAGUCAAACGGAUGAGUCACCUAUCAGCCAGUACUUAGGAUCUUUACCUAGGUAGGCUAUAACGGGUAACGGGCGGUUACCGUCGGACUGCCGGAGAAGGAGCCUGAGAGACAGCUACUAUUCCUACGGGGAGCAGCAGGCGCGAAACUUACCCACUCGAGACACUCGGAGGUGGUAAUGACCUGUUCCAUAAUUGGGUUAAUUCUCAAGGUGGAUAGGAUGAUAUCCUAUUCAUUUCAUGUAAUCUAGCAGAGGGCCAGUCUGGUGCCAGCAGCUGCGGUAAUUCCAGCUCUGCGAGUUUGCUCCCAUAUUGUUGCAGUUAAAACGCCCGUAGUCUAUUUUCCGUAUAGAUGAUGUGUCCACACAGUCCAACGCGAAUAAAUCAGGACGCUUAGUGUUUUUCACAAGAAUGACAGAGCGCGAAAUGGAUUCUUUACCCACUCGGGUAAUUAUAAAGAGAGCGGGUGGUGCUGGUAGUAUUCCUGAGCGAGCGGUGGAAUGCAUUGACCUUAGGGAGACUAACGAAAGCGAAGGCAGCCAGCAAGUAGGUCUCUGUCGAUCAAGGGCGAGAGUAGGGGGAGCAAACCGGAUUAGAGACCCGGGUAGUCCCUACAGUAAACUAUGUCGACAUGGGAUUGGUCAUUAAUUAAAUGAUCGGUACCAAAGGAGAAAUCUUAGUUCAUGGACUCUGGGGGAACUACGAUCGCAAGACAGAAACUUGAAGGAAUUGACGGAAGGGCACACAAGGGGUGGAGCCUGCGGCUUAAUCUGACUCAACACGGAGAAACUUACCAGGACACGCUGAUUUGGUGAACGACAAUCUAAAGGAUUUUCGCAAUAUGUCUUUGGGUGGUGCAUGGCCGUUGGUGGUGCGUGGGUUGACCUGUCUUACGUUGAUUCAGAUAACGAGCGAGAUUAUCACCAUUUAAUUAUUAUUUGGUACUCAUGUACUCAAAAAUAACUAUUUGGGACUGCCUGGGUAUACCAGGAGGAAGGUGAUAGCAAUAACAGGUCCGUGAUGUCCUUUAGAUGCCCUGGGCUGCACGCGUGCUACAAUGGUUAUUGAAAUGGGCUAGCUUACCCGAAAGGGGACGCUACUCCCGAAUUUUAACCGUAUUUGGGAUUGGCGGUUGUAAUCACCGACAUGAACCAGGAAUCCCUUGUAAGCGUGUGUCAACAUCGCUCGUUGAAUACGUCCCUGCCCUUUGUACACACCGCCCGUCGCUCCUACCGAUCGGAUGACCUGGUGAAAUUAUCUGACCUUUCGGGGAAUGGUAUUUAAAUCAUGUUAUCUAGAGGAAGGAGAAGUCGUAACAAGGUAACG
This 1523-nucleotide ribosomal RNA is filed under the name Pseudotrichonympha grassii. Its description in RNAcentral is "SSU rRNA". It matches the Rfam family "Eukaryotic small subunit ribosomal RNA". Lineage: Eukaryota; Parabasalia; Trichonymphida; Teranymphidae. The record is from RNAcentral.